CACCGCAAGGACUGGAGAAGGGCCAUGAGAGAAGCAGUACCUUAUAAUGGUUCCUUGUUCAAAGCACUCAAUAUUCCUAGGAUGUGGUCUCCCAGCUGACUUCAUAACUGAAUCAUCAGUAAUUAAUUUCAUUGUUCUAUUAGGACUUUACUGAAGACUCUAAGGAGGACCUGUAUCUGUUGGGAUCCUUAGGGCAAGCCACAGAAACAAGCUUUGGAUACUAGAAGCAGAAAAUGGAGUUAUUGAAGACUAUUGUGGAGUUUACUGUGAGCCAGAGAACCAGGCUGGGUGGCUGUACCACUUAGAAUGAGAUCCAAACUCACACCAUAGUUCCAUCCUUGAGGUCGCCAUGUUGCUGCCACCCCUCCUGCCACCCCACCACUGAAGCUUUGGAUGCUGGAUUCUGGGCACAGCGGGGAGAAGUGUUGGUUAUUACCAUUUUAAGACAGGUUCUUGCUCUGUUGCCCAGGCUGGAGUGCAGUGGUGUGAUCACGGCUCACUAUAGCCUCAUCCUGCUGCACUAAAGUGAUCCUCUUGCCUCAGCCUCCUGAGUAGCUAGGACUACAGGCACGUGCCACCAUACCCAGCUAUUUUUUUUUUAAUACAUUUUUGUUGAGGCUGGGUCCCCUUUGCUGUCCAGGCUGGUCUUAAGCUCCUGGCCUCAAGCAAUCCUUCCA
Molecule: long non-coding RNA, 677 nt
Filed under: Pan troglodytes (chimpanzee)
Lineage: Eukaryota; Metazoa; Chordata; Mammalia; Primates; Hominidae
Description: lincRNA
Source: RNAcentral